RNAcentral lists this ribosomal RNA (465 nucleotides) under bacterium Fw70-4. RNAcentral's name for it is "bacterial SSU rRNA". It matches the Rfam family "Bacterial small subunit ribosomal RNA", at positions 15 to 491 of the family's 1533-position model. The record is from RNAcentral.
GAUCAUGGCUCAGGACGAACGCUGGCGGCGUGCUUAACACAUGCAAGUCGAACGAUGAAGCUGGAGCUUGCUCCGGUGGAUUAGUGGCGAACGGGUGAGUAACACGUGAGCAAUCUGCCCUUGACUCUGGGAUAACUGCGGGAAACUGUAGCUAAUACCGGAUAUUUUCCCUGGUGGGCAUCCACUGGGGAAGAAAGAAUUUCGGUCAAGGAUGAGCUCGCGGCCUAUCAGCUAGUUGGUGAGGUAAUGGCUCACCAAGGCGACGACGGGUAGCCGGCCUGAGAGGGUGACCGGCCACACUGGAACUGAGACACGGUCCAGACUCCUACGGGAGGCAGCAGUGGGGAAUAUUGCACAAUGGGCGAAAGCCUGAUGCAGCAACGCCGCGUGAGGGACGAAGGCCUUCGGGUUGUAAACCUCUUUUAGCAGGGAAGAAGCGAAAGUGACGGUACCUGCAGAAAAAGC